GAUUAAAAAAAAGGAGAGUUAGCUCCUCUUACUUGGUGUUUAUACUUGACUGGCUUCUUAUACUGUAGUUCCAGCACUGUUUGUCUUAGAAGAAGACUCAAAGAACUAAGACAUAUCAACUGUAAUUGAAAAUGCACAGCUCAUUCUGCACCUCUGGUCUAACAUCUCUUUGUCAAGAGUUGGGAAGCCUGCUUCGUCAUCAGACAUGUACAGCUUUUAAGAAAGGUGAUGCAGCACAGACAUGAUCCUGAAGGCUUUGGCUGGGGACUUUGCAAUGAAGAAAUGCCAUUAGAUGUUUAUUCACCAUGCACCUAACUAUAAAUAAAGUCAGCAAUUGAGUUAUAGCACU
Molecule: long non-coding RNA, 349 nt
Organism: Sarcophilus harrisii (Tasmanian devil)
Lineage: Eukaryota; Metazoa; Chordata; Mammalia; Dasyuromorphia; Dasyuridae
Exons: 3
Source: RefSeq, a predicted model, not a curated record